AGCAGGGAUCAUGCCUCGUGGAGAGCCAGACUUAGGAUCUGGUUCCGCAAGGAUUAGGGGUUCGAGUCCCCUCCCUGGUA
This 80-nucleotide transfer RNA is filed under the name Chthoniobacterales bacterium. RNAcentral's name for it is "tRNA-OTHER". Lineage: Bacteria; Pseudomonadati; Verrucomicrobiota; Spartobacteria; Chthoniobacterales. The record is from RNAcentral.